GUGAGGUAUUCCAUAGACUGUAAGAAAAUAGUCUGUGAAGAAAAUAGAGUGUGAGUAAUAUUGUAGUGAGGUGGGAAAAUCAAAAGAGUGUUAUUUCUUUUGAGGGUGUAGUGGUCUUAGGAGUAUUUGUACUCGUUACUACACAGUGUAAAAUUCCUUACUAUAGUUAUAUCAGCUGCUCCUCUUGGCCGUGGUUUUUUCCUUAUUCAGAAGGGUUUCCACGUAAAAUCUUGGUGUCAUUAUUGCUGCAAUUUAUUCUUGCUGAUUUAGCCAUAAUUUAGUGUUCCACGUUUAUCACUAAUACCGUGAAUAUUAUUUUUGCGGGUCUAUUUUAUUCCCAACACGACGGCUUCAAACAGGCCAAGACCAUCUUUCUCAUCCAAAUGUUGAAACCCACCGCGAUGCUAAUCAUGCUAUGUUCAACCUGGAUUUAGCUUGUGAUGAAUUCCACUUCUAAUUUUGUUAGCAAUGAACUUUGUUUUUCUGGAACUGUGGAUUUUGCACCAGUUUAUCAGAUUUUGGGUCUUAUAGUUGGACAGAUAGAAAUUGUUCUGUGAAGAAUUCUCCAAAUUGGAGCUAUGUUGCUUUGUUUUUUAACCUAUUAUUCUAGUUAUUUGAGGGUUUUUUGUCCAUGUGCCUUUGUAUUUAGUAGUGCAAAUUGUUUUGUUCAGAAUUCUCUAAAGUACUUUUUCUAUAGAA
Long non-coding RNA from Lycium barbarum (goji berry), 699 nucleotides. RefSeq lists it as uncharacterized. The transcript is spliced from 2 exons. The record is from RefSeq and is a predicted model, not a curated record. NCBI's taxonomy places the organism in Eukaryota, Viridiplantae, Streptophyta, Magnoliopsida, Solanales, Solanaceae.